AGAGUUUGAUCAUGGCUCAGGAUGAACGCUGGCGGCAUGCCUAAUACAUGCAAGUCGAACGAAGUCUUUUGAAAGCUUGCUUUUAAAAGACUUAGUGGCGAACGGGUGAGUAACACGUAGGGAACCUGCCCAUGUACCCGGGAUAACAGAUGGAAACGUCUGCUAAAACCGGAUAGGUAUAGACAAGGCAUCUUGACUAUAUUAAAGGACCUUCGGGUGCGGACAUGGAUGGACCUGCGGCGUAUUAGCCAGUUGGCGGGGUAACGGCCCACCAAAGCGAUGAUACGUAGCCGGCCUGAGAGGGUAGACGGCCACAUUGGGACUGAGACACGGCCCAAACUCCUACGGGAGGCAGCAGUAGGGAAUUUUCGUCAAUGGGGGAAACCCUGAACGAGCAAUGCCGCGUGAGUGAAGAAAGCCUUCGGGUCAUAAAGCUCUGUUGUAAGAGAAAAACGGUAAUGAUAGGAAAUGAUCA
This 475-nucleotide ribosomal RNA is filed under the name uncultured bacterium. Its description in RNAcentral is "bacterial SSU rRNA". It matches the Rfam family "Bacterial small subunit ribosomal RNA", at positions 8 to 475 of the family's 1533-position model. The record is from RNAcentral.